UACGGAGGGGGCUAGCGUUGUUCGGAAUUACUGGGUGUAAAGCGCGCGUAGGCGGGUCACUAAGUCAGGGGUGAAAUCCCGAGGCUUAACCUCGGAACUGCCUUUGAUACUGGUGACCUGGAGAUCGGGAGAGGUUGGUGGAAUUCCGAGUGUAGAGGUGAAAUUCGUAGAUAUUCGGAGGAACACCAGAAGCGAAGGCGGCCAACUGGCCCGAUACUGACGCUGAGGCGCGAAAGCGUGGGGAGCAAACAGG
This 253-nucleotide ribosomal RNA is filed under the name uncultured bacterium. Its description in RNAcentral is "partial 16S ribosomal RNA". It matches the Rfam family "Bacterial small subunit ribosomal RNA", at positions 524 to 776 of the family's 1533-position model. The record is from RNAcentral.